UACUAGCCAAAAACGUAAGGCAUACGAGGACGUGAAGCCAUAUUAGGCUUGGUCUGAGACCUGAUUCCAUCACAUCAUCCUAUUAAGAUAUGAAAAUAAUUAGGAGUAGAAGAAGGACUAUCCAUUCUCAAAAUAGCUGGUCGUCAUUCCAUGCUGUUAAUGGAUGUGGCCCUCGCAUACCAUGAGGAGAUAUUACUCACCUAACUUGAGAAGGUUGGAAGGACAGGC
Molecule: long non-coding RNA, 228 nt
Filed under: Elaeis guineensis (African oil palm)
Lineage: Eukaryota; Viridiplantae; Streptophyta; Magnoliopsida; Arecales; Arecaceae
Description: long non-coding RNA (EGUI_LNC059216)
Source: RNAcentral